GACGAACGCUGGCGGCGUGCUUAACACAUGCCAGUCGAACGGUGAAGCGCCUUCCUUUUUGGUGGGUGUGGAUGAGUGGCGAACGGGUGAGUAACACGUGAGUAACCUGCCCCCUUCUUCUGGAUAACCGCAUGAAAGUGUGGCUAAUACGGGAUAUUCUGGGUCUGUCGCAUGAUGGGUCUGGGACAGAUAUUGUUUCGGUGGGGGCUGGGCUCGCGGCCUAUCAGCUUGUUGGUGGGGUGAUGGCCUACCCAGGCGGUGACGGGUAGCCGGCCUGAGAGGGUGGACGGUCACACGGGGAAUGAGACACGGCCCAGACUCAGACGGGAGGCAGCAGGGGGGAAUAAUGCACAAUGGGCGCAAGACUGAUGCAGCGACGCCGCGUGAGGGAUGGAGGCCUUCGGGUUGUGAACCUCUUUCGCCAGUGAAGCAGGCCUGCCUCGUAUGUGGGUGGGUUGACGGUAGCUGGAGAAGAAGCGCCGGCUAACUACGUG
This 494-nucleotide ribosomal RNA is filed under the name uncultured bacterium. RNAcentral describes it as "partial 16S ribosomal RNA". It matches the Rfam family "Bacterial small subunit ribosomal RNA", at positions 28 to 507 of the family's 1533-position model. The record is from RNAcentral.